This 496-nucleotide ribosomal RNA is filed under the name uncultured bacterium. RNAcentral's name for it is "partial 16S ribosomal RNA". It matches the Rfam family "Bacterial small subunit ribosomal RNA", at positions 29 to 507 of the family's 1533-position model. The record is from RNAcentral.
AUGAACGCUGGCGGCGUGCCUAAUCCCUGCAAGUCGAGCGAACGGACGAGAAGCUUGCUUCUCUGAUGUUAGCGGCGGACGGGUGAGUAACACGUGGAUAACCUACCUAUAAGACUGGGAUAACUUCGGGAAACCGGAGCUAAUACCGGAUAAUAUUUUGAACCGCAUGGUUCAAAAGUGAAAGGCGGUCUUGCUGUCACUUAUAGAUGGAUCCGCGCUGCAUUAGCUAGUUGGUAAGGUAACGGCUUACCAAGGCAACGAUGCAUAGCCGACCUGAGAGGGUGAUCGGCCACACUGGAACUGAGACACGGUCCAGACUCCUACGGGAGGCAGCAGUAGGGAAUCUUCCGCAAUGGGCGAAAGCCUGACGGAGCAACGCCGCGUGAGUGAUGAAGGUCUUCGGAUCGUAAAACUCUGUUAUUAGGGAAGAACAUAUGUGUAAGUAACUGUGCACAUCUUGACGGUACCUAAUCAGAAAGCCACGGCUAACUACGUG